CCUGUUAAAACUUUUAGUUGUGUCAUGUUUGUAGAAAUAUGUGUUAGUAUAAACGAGAAACGAAGAGGUUUGUGCUGCUGGUCAUUCACACCGGACCCUGAAGAGUAAUAGAGGAGAAAACAGUCACUAACCUGAGGUCAAGGUUACGUUUGCAUAUUCAUUUGAAUAGUUAAGCUUUGUUAACUCAGCUCUACUAUAAGGGACACGUAAGGACAACCACACCGAACGCUCAGAUAUAUUAACCUGAACAUAAUACGUGACUGAGGAGUGAGGUUGUGAACUUAGUUAGUCAUAGUUAGUCUUUAAUGCCACUGGAAAAUUUGUAUACUUUUUUCUGGUCUUGAAUAUUUUUUAUCAUGAUAUACUUCUGUAACCCGGUACAUGAAGACUGCAUACUAGGAUAAAGGCCAUGAUAUCAUCUGUAAAUAUUUGCUGGUGUCAUUGACUGGUCACAUUUCUCCCCAAAAUCUAAAGAAAAAAUAAAUAAUUACAUUUGGAAUGAAGCAACUGAAGACAAAAGAUGAAACUAAAGUAAAAUUGGCAACAAAGAAAAUUCAACUUGUCCGGGCUGAUCAUUUAUCAAAAAUCUCGUGUUUUGUUCAACUGAAUAAAGAAACUCAUACAGGACAUGAGGAUGUGACUCACGAAGCUUGUGCUCCUGUUUACAAAGACCCAUUUGUGUCCCGUUGGAACAUCCGAUCAAAGCGCGACUCCAGGGAUGAAUGCUCAGAUAGGAUACUGGGAUUCUAGGAACCGCAGAUAAAGUCAAUGUUACACAUUUAAAAGAGUGAACUGUCCUCAAUUGCUUGAUCGUACACGUAUCACAAUAACAGAUUGGAUUGUACAGAUAAAAUUCCUCUCACUUCAACAAAUACAAAUAUUUACUGUAUGUCGGAAAACCUUGGAUUUCCUGUAGUAACUCUCACAUGUUAUACAAUGUAAAAAAUGUGCAUACACAUUUUUAAGCAUAAUCAUUUCAACCUUGAUUAUUUGAUCUUGAAUAGUGAUGAGUUGCUGUACUGUAACUUAUAAAAUAAAGUUGAAUUAGCUUAAGUUAUUUUAAUUUUAUUCAAAAAGUUACAGCAAC
Long non-coding RNA from Paramisgurnus dabryanus, 1087 nucleotides. RefSeq lists it as uncharacterized. The record is from RefSeq and is a predicted model, not a curated record. Lineage: Eukaryota; Metazoa; Chordata; Actinopteri; Cypriniformes; Cobitidae.